AACGAACGCUGGCGGCAGUCCUAACACAUUCCAUUCGAGCGAUCAUUUCGGUGCUAUUGGCUGACGGGUUAGUAACGCGUGGGAAUGUUCCCUUUUCUUCUGAAUAGUUCUGCGAAACUGGGGGUAAUACCGCCUACGCUCUUUUGGGGAAAGAUUUAUCGGAGAAGGUUCGGCCCGCGUUGGAUUAGGUCGUUGGUGGGGUAAUGGCCCACCAACCCGAUGAUCCAUAGCUGGAUUGGCAGGAUGAUCAGCCACACUGGGACUGAGACACCGCCCAGAAUACGACGGGAGGCAGCAGUGGGGAAUAUUAGACAAUGGGGGAAACGAUGAACGAGCCAUGCCGGGGAAGUGAUGAAGGGAUUAGAGUAGGAAAGCUCGAUGAGCUGGGAAAAUAAUGACGGUACCAGCAGAAGAAGCCCGGGAUAACUCCGUG
This 433-nucleotide ribosomal RNA is filed under the name uncultured bacterium. Its description in RNAcentral is "partial 16S ribosomal RNA". It matches the Rfam family "Bacterial small subunit ribosomal RNA", at positions 29 to 507 of the family's 1533-position model. The record is from RNAcentral.